UACGAAGGGGGCAAGCGUUACUCGGAUUUACUGGGCGUAAAGCGUGCGUAGGUGGUUAUGUAAGUUGGAAGUGAAAGCCUAGAGCUCAACUCUAGAAUGGCUUUCAAGACUGCAUAGCUAGAGUACUAGAGAGGAUAGCAGAAUUCCUAGUGUAGAGGUGAAAUUCGUAGAUAUUAGGAGGAAUACCGGAAGCGAAAGCGGCUAUCUGGCUAGUUACUGACACUGUUGCACGAAAGCGUGGGGAGCAAACAGG
RNAcentral lists this ribosomal RNA (253 nucleotides) under uncultured bacterium. Its description in RNAcentral is "partial 16S ribosomal RNA". It matches the Rfam family "Bacterial small subunit ribosomal RNA", at positions 524 to 776 of the family's 1533-position model. The record is from RNAcentral.